Falco peregrinus (peregrine falcon) is the source of this 1242-nucleotide long non-coding RNA. RefSeq lists it as uncharacterized. Lineage: Eukaryota; Metazoa; Chordata; Aves; Falconiformes; Falconidae. The record is from RefSeq and is a predicted model, not a curated record. The transcript has 3 exons.
CCCCGGCCCAGGGGCCCCGGCCCCGGCCCGAGGCCCGGCGCGGCGGCGGGCACAGGGCUGCGCCGGGUCCGCCGGCUGCAAACCGCAUAGUGCGGCUUGGAGGGAAGAUAACCCCUGUUCCCAGCUCUAGAGGCUGUUACUAAAACGGAUGGAGGUUCAGGCUGUACUGGAUUCCCAUUCUGAAGUUCCCCUCAAGCCCUGCAGACAGUGCUUUAGCAGCCUUUGCUCUGGAAAAAACCUCUUGCAGUUACACCAAGAAUGAGUGUUUUCAGGCUUCAGGUGAGCCACUGUGAGAAACAGCUCUUCAAACCCAUGAGAUGAGAAACUGCAACUGGCAACUCAUCUCCACUCCUUCCAGACCACUGAGGUUUGCUGGUGGCACUGCAGACAGCAAAGGGUAGAGGAAGGCUGGAAGGAAAGCUCUCUUCUCCCACCCCACCGCCCCACACAAGGUGGAGAAGACAGCAGCCCUUUGCUUCUUCUGCACCACAGUUCUGCCAGGAAGUUACGCAGAGACCAAACCACGCUGCCAGUCACUGCGCCAUUGCACUGCGAUGCUUUCAUACCCCAACUCAGAAGAUCAAAGUCAAAUGUUUCCAAGUCUCAUGAUGACUGAACUGAGAAGAAAUGCUGAAUUUUUGGAAUGCAGACAUUCUGGAGGAAAGUUUGCACUUUUUCAAGUGGCUAUUAGAGUCAACGAACUUCUAUACAUAAUUCAUACAUAUAUAUAUUUUCAACCUGACAAAAGUAAGCUUAGCAGCUUCUUGCUAAUGAUCUCAAAGCAAAACAGUAUACGUUGGGGCUUUCAAUGCAUGAUCACAGCAUCAAUAAUAAAUCUCUGUAAGAAAAACACUAUUCCCCAACUACACCAAAGAGAAGAACAAAAAGGCUUGCUUAUAACCCAGAAACUCCAGCUAGUCCUGUUCUGACCCAGGUUACUCAGGGCUCAGCAUCAGAGGGCAGGUGCUGCUCAUCACAAUUUUUGCCGCAAGUCUGAAAGAUUCAAGCCAAGAGUUCAUUCCAAAUAGCAGCACCAGUACAGACAAGCAAGCCAUGAGAUUUGUAACACGUAUUUGAAGACCAACAAGGAACUAGCCAACUAGUAAUUUAAGAGACUAAAGUAACUGCAUUUAGGCCUCCAAAUCACUACUGAAACUUGUAUUUAAACAGAGCAUAGGUGUUUUCUAUUUUUAAUGCAAAAAGCAAGGGCUAGAAUGGUUUCUAUUACACUAUCCAUUUUUA